AUGAGAUUAAACAAAAGCUAUCACAAGCUCCUGUCACUACCUGAUUUCAACAAGACUUUUGAGUUGGAGUGUGAUGCAAGUGGAGUAGGCAUUGGAGCUGUCCUAUCUCAAGAAAGGAAGCCCAUUGCUUUCUUUAGUGAGAAGUUAAGUGAAGCUAGACAGAAAUGGAGUACCUAUCAGCAAGAAUUAUACGCCGUUUUCAGAGCGUUGAAAACUUGGGAAGUCUAUUUGCUGCCUAAAGAGUUCAUUGUUUAUAGCGACCAUCAAUCCUUGAAGCAUUUUAGAAAUCAAAAGCAUGUUGACCGCAUGCUAGCAAGAUGGGCAGCAUAUCUUGAGAGGUUUAACUAUCUCAUCGUGCAUAAAUCUGGAAUAACUAACAGAGUGGCCGAUGCUUUGAGUCGUCGUGCAUGCCUCUUGACUUCUUUUGAAGCUGAACUUCCGGGCAUGGGUCAAAUAAAGGAGUUGUAUGAGGGUGACGAAGACUUUGGCCAUGUUUGGGUAAAGCACGCAAGGGGCCAACCAUUAGGUGAUGACUAUUUGAUGCAAGAUGGAUAUCUCUUCAAAAAUGAUCGUUUGUGCAUUCCAAGAAGUUCUCUACGUGACAAGCUGGUUAGAGAGCUCCAUUCAAGUGAUCUUAGUGGCCAUGUUGGACGGGACAAGACUAUCGCUAACCUGGAAGCUCGCUACUUUUGGCCACAACUAAAGAGAGAUGCUGGAAAGUUCGUUCAACGGUGCCCCGUAUGUCAGACCUGCAAAGGCCAAGUCUAG
RNAcentral lists this ribosomal RNA (768 nucleotides) under Triticum aestivum (bread wheat). RNAcentral's name for it is "partial small subunit ribosomal RNA". Lineage: Eukaryota; Viridiplantae; Streptophyta; Magnoliopsida; Poales; Poaceae. The record is from RNAcentral.